Molecule: ribosomal RNA, 215 nt
Filed under: uncultured bacterium
Lineage: Bacteria
Description: partial 16S ribosomal RNA
Rfam family: Bacterial small subunit ribosomal RNA
Source: RNAcentral
UCCCAGUUCGGAUUGCAGUCUGCAACUCGACUGCAUGAAGCUGGAAUCGCUAGUAAUCGCGGAUCAGAAUGCCGCGGUGAAUACGUUCCCGGGUCUUGUACACACCGCCCGUCACACCAUGGGAGUCGGAAAUGCCCGAAGUCAGUGACCCAACCGUAAGGAGGGAGCUGCCGAAGGUGGAGCCGGUAACUGGGGUGAAGUCGUAACAAGGUAUC